RNAcentral lists this microRNA precursor (78 nucleotides) under Trichobilharzia regenti. RNAcentral describes it as "mir-3492 microRNA precursor family". It matches the Rfam family "mir-3492 microRNA precursor family". Lineage: Eukaryota; Metazoa; Platyhelminthes; Trematoda; Strigeidida; Schistosomatidae. The record is from Rfam by way of RNAcentral.
AGCCUUUUGUAUUCGUGUUCAGAUUACGUUAGCGACCAAUCCGUUAGGGCUGAUGCAACUUCUUAAAUAAGUGAAGCG